Molecule: ribosomal RNA, 832 nt
Filed under: uncultured bacterium
Lineage: Bacteria
Description: bacterial SSU rRNA
Rfam family: Bacterial small subunit ribosomal RNA
Source: RNAcentral
AACGAACGCGGGCGGCGUGUCUUAAGCAUGCAAGUCGUGCGGCAAGGUGUAGCAAUACCCCCUAGAGCGGCGGACUGGUGAGUAACGCGUGGGUGAUCUGCCUUUGGGAUGGGGAUAGCCAUUAGAAAUAGUGGGUAAUACCGAAUACGCUUCCCUGGUUGCGACCAGGGAAGGAAAAGCGCUUCGGCGCUGCCCGAAGGUGAGCCCGCGUCCCAUUAGCUAGUUGGUGAGGUAAUGGCCCACCAAGGCGAUGAUGGGUAGCCGGCCUGAGAGGGUGUACGGCCACACUGGGACUGAGAUACGGCCCAGACUCCUACGGGAGGCAGCAGCUAAGAAUAUUCCGCAAUGGACGAAAGUCUGACGGAGCGACGCCGCGUGGAUGACGAAGGCCGAAAGGUUGUAAAGUCCUUUUGUUGGGGAAGAAUAACCAUGGGAGGGAAUGCCCGUGGGAUGACAUGAACCGACGAAUAAGCCCCGGCUAACUACGUGCCAGCAGCCGCGGUAACACGUAGGGGGCAAGCGUUGCUCGGAAUUACUGGGCGUAAAGGGCAUGUAGGCGGCUUUGUAAGCCCGGCGUGGAAGCCCACGGCUCAACCGUGGGAUUGCGUUGGGAACUGCAAGGCUUGAAUCAUGGAGAGGGAGCUAGAAUUCCUGGUGUAGGGGUGAAAUCUGUAGAGAUCAGGAAGAAUACCAGUGGCGAAGGCGAGCUCCUGGCCAAUGAUUGACGCUGAGGUGCGAAAGUGUGGGGAUCAAACAGGAUUAGAUACCCUGGUAGUCCACACUGUAAACGAUGUGCACUAGGUGCUGGGGCGGAUGCUUCAGUGCCGGAGCU